GCCUGGGUGGCUCAGUCGGUUGAGCGUCUGAUUUGGACUUCAGCUCAGGUCAUGAUCUCAUGGUUUGUGAGUUCGAGCCCCACGUCAGGCC
RNAcentral lists this transfer RNA (91 nucleotides) under Felis catus (domestic cat). It matches the Rfam family "tRNA". Rfam says of the family: Transfer RNA (tRNA) molecules are approximately 80 nucleotides in length. Their secondary structure includes four short double-helical elements and three loops (D, anti-codon, and T loops). The record is from Rfam by way of RNAcentral. Lineage: Eukaryota; Metazoa; Chordata; Mammalia; Carnivora; Felidae.